AGUGAACGCUGGCGGUAGGCCUAACACAUGCGAGUCGAACGGCAGCACAGUAAGAGCUUGCUCUUACGGGUGGCGAGUGGCGGACGGGUGAGGAAUACAUCGGAAUCUACUUUUUCGUGGGGGAUAACGUAGGGAAACUUACGCUAAUACCGCAUACGACCUACGGGUGAAAGCAGGGGAUCUUCGGACCUUGCGCGAUUGAAUGAGCCGAUGUCGGAUUAGCUAGUUGGCGGGGUAAAGGCCCACCAAGGCGACGAUCCGUAGCUGGUCUGAGAGGAUGAUCAGCCACACUGGAACUGAGACACGGUCCAGACUCCUACGGGAGGCAGCAGUGGGGAAUAUUGGACAAUGGGCGCAAGCCUGAUCCAGCCAUACCGCGUGGGUGAAGAAGGCCUUCGGGUUGUAAAUCCCUUUUGUUGGGAAAGAAAAGCAGCAGGUUAAUACCCCGCUGUUCUGACGGUACCCAAAGAAUAAGCACCGGCUAACUUCGUG
RNAcentral lists this ribosomal RNA (492 nucleotides) under uncultured bacterium. Its description in RNAcentral is "partial 16S ribosomal RNA". It matches the Rfam family "Bacterial small subunit ribosomal RNA", at positions 29 to 507 of the family's 1533-position model. The record is from RNAcentral.